GGCGGACGGGUGCGUAAUAUGUAGGGAUCUGCCCUGAAGCGGGGGACAACCCGGGGAAACCCGGGCUAAUACCGCAUAAUACUCUACGGAGGAAAUCUGGCACGCAAGUGCUGGGGCUUUAGGAUGAACCUACAUCCGAUUAGCUAGUUGGUGAGGUAACGGCUCACCAAGGCAAUGAUCGGUAGCUGGUCUGAGAGGAUGACCAGCCACACUGGGACUGAGACACGGCCCAGACUCCUACGGGAGGCAGCAGUGGGGAAUAUUGGACAAUGGGGGAAACCCUGAUCCAGCAAUGCCGCGUGGGUGAAGAAGGCCUUCGGGUUGUAAAGCCCUUUAGGCGGGGAAGAAGGUUGCAGGGUGAUAAGCCUUGCAAUUUGACGGUACCCGCAGAAUAAGCACCGGCUAACUCUGUGCCAGCAGCCGCGG
RNAcentral lists this ribosomal RNA (426 nucleotides) under uncultured bacterium. Its description in RNAcentral is "bacterial SSU rRNA". It matches the Rfam family "Bacterial small subunit ribosomal RNA", at positions 97 to 520 of the family's 1533-position model. The record is from RNAcentral.